CUCAAUGAAUUGACGGGCCCCGCACAAGCAGCGGAGCGUGUGGUUUAAUUCGAUGCUACACGAAGAACCUUACCAGGGUUUGACAUACAAGUAGUAGGGAAAGGAAACUGGACCGACCCUUCGGGGAGCUUGUACAGGUGCUGCAUGGCUGUCGUCAGCUCGUGUCGUGAGAUGUUCGGUUAAGUCCGCUAACGAGCGCAACCCUCGCUGUGUGUUACAAGUGUCACACGGAACUGCCGGUCAUAAACCGGAGGAAGGUGGGAUGACGUCAAGUCAGCAUGGCCUUUAUAUCCUGGGCUACACACACGCUACAAUGGGAAGGGACAAUGGGUUGCGAAGCCGCGAGGCGGAGCCAAUCCAGCAAAACUUCCCUCAGUUCAGAUUGCAGGCUGCAACCCGCCUGCAUGAAGUUGGAGUUGCUAGUAAACGCAGGUCAGCCAUACUGCGUUGAAUACGUUCCGGGGCUU
RNAcentral lists this ribosomal RNA (467 nucleotides) under uncultured Anaerolineaceae bacterium. RNAcentral describes it as "bacterial SSU rRNA". It matches the Rfam family "Bacterial small subunit ribosomal RNA", at positions 904 to 1382 of the family's 1533-position model. Lineage: Bacteria; Bacillati; Chloroflexota; Anaerolineae; Anaerolineales; Anaerolineaceae. The record is from RNAcentral.